RNAcentral lists this long non-coding RNA (1717 nucleotides) under Taeniopygia guttata (zebra finch). Its description in RNAcentral is "lncRNA (ENSTGUG00000020431.1)". Lineage: Eukaryota; Metazoa; Chordata; Aves; Passeriformes; Estrildidae. The record is from RNAcentral.
CCCACCUCUCCCAGUUCUCCCAGUUCUCCCAGUGCCACUCCCACCCCAGCCCACCUCUCCCAGUUCUCCCAGUGCCCCCGGUGCCCAUCCCAGUGCUCCCAGUUCUCCCAAUGCCACUCCCACCCCAGCCCCACCUCUCCCAGUGCCCCCAGUGCCACUCCCACCCCAGCCCCACCUCUCCCAGUUCUCCCAGUGCCCAUCCCAGUGCUCCCAGUUCUCCCAGUGCCACUCCCAUCCCAGCCCCAUCUCUUCCAGUCUCCCCCAGUGCUUGCCCAGUCCACCCAGUGCCCACCCCAGCCCCCCCAGUGCCUCCCAGUGCCACUCCCACCCCAGCCCCACCUCUCCCAGUUCUCCCAGUUCUCCCAGUGCCCCCAGUGCCCCCAGUGCCCCCGGUGCCCGUCGCUCACCCCGCUGUGCCCCGCAGCCUCGGAGGUCUCCUGCUGGCCCACAGCAUGGUCCUGCUGGCCCUCAACGCCGGGCAGCCCCCGGAGUGACACUCCCCGAGCACCCAGCCCUGCUGGGCACCCCUGGGUGCCCCUGCGUGCCCGCCCUGCGCCCACCGACCCUCCUGCAGAGCCGCGGGCACGGCCACGAGAGCUGGAGUUCCUGUGCCAGUAAUUAACUGCAGCGCGUUAAUUGGGGCAGAGCGAGCGGCUCCCUGAGCUGGGAUGGUCCUGUGGGAUCUGCUGGAUGUUCCCCUGGGACUCUUUGGGAUGUUCCUGUUUUGGGAUCUUCGGAUGUUCCCGUUUUGGGAUGUUCCCCUGGGAUCUUUGGAAUGUUCUGUUUUUGGGAUGUUCCCUGGGGAUCUUGGGAUGUCCUGUGGGAUCUUCGAGAUGUUCCCGUGGGAUCUUUGGGACGUUCCUGUUGGGAUCUUGGGAUGUUCCCGUUUUGGGAUGGUCCUGUUGGAUCUGCUGGAUGUUCCCAUGGGAUCUUUGGGAUGUUCCUGUAGGAUCUUUCUUCAGGAUGUUCCUGUGGGAUAUUUGAGAUGUUCCUUUGAGAUCUUUGGGAUGUUCCCAUGGACCUUUGGGAUGUUCCUGUGGAUAUUGGGAUGUUCCUUUGAGAUCUUUGGGAUGUUCCCGUGGGACCUUUGGGAUAUUCCUGUGGGAUUUUUGGGAUGUUCCUGUGGGACCUUUGGGAUAUUCCUGUGGGAUAUUUGGGAUGUUCCUUUGAGAUCUUUGGGGAUUUUGGGGGUUCCACUUUACCCCCCCUGCCUGAGGAAUUCCUGCUGCAGAGGGAAUUCACCCCAAAACGGGCCGGCUUUGUCCACAGGAUGUUGGUGGCCCCGGGGUUUUGGGGGUGACUCUGGUGCCCCACAAGGGACACGCUGCACAGGUGGCCAUGGGACACCUGCAAAUUUCCUUUUUGAAGCAUUUUUGGGUAUAAAGGGUGGGAGCCACCCCUUUCCUCACCCUUCCUGCUGCUUUUGGGGAUUUCAGAGCCCCCCUUGAAGGAAUUCACCACUGGGGAAUGUUUAACCCCUUUUUCAGCCACGACUCACAUCUAAUUUAACCAUUUGUUUUUCUUUUUCCACUUAAAUAUUCCCCUUAAAUACAGCAUUAUCAGGAAAAAGGAGCCAUUAUGAACGUGCCCAUUAUUCCCGGGCACGGCUGAGGAAAAAAAAAAUUGUAACGUUGAAUGAGAAGCUUUGGAAUCACAAAAUUUGUGAAAAUAAAACAAAAAUCCAGUGGGAGCUUGGAGGAAUUGAAGGGGACAUUGG